CAAGUUAUUAAGGGUGCAGGGCGGAUGCCUUGGCACUAGGAGCCGAUGAAGGACGUGAUAAGCUGCGAUAAGCUUCGGGGAGUUGCACGUAAACUUUGAUCCGAAGAUUUCCGAAUGAGGAAACUCACUUAGAGUAAUGUCUAAGUAUCAUUAAGUGAAUACAUAGCUUAAUGAGGGGAACUCAGGGAACUGAAACAUCUAAGUACCUGAAGGAAGAGAAAGAAAUUCGAUUCCGUAAGUAGCGGACGAGCGAACGCGGAUUAGCCCAAACCAAUAAAGUUUUCUUUAUUGGGGUUGCGGACAUAUCAUAACGAAGAGGUAUCGUAAUUGAAGAGGUUUGGAAAGACCCACCACAGAAGGUAAUAGUCCUGUAUGUUAAACGAGAAGUACUUUAGAUAUGAUCCAGAGUACCACGGGACACGUGAAACCCUGUGGGAAGCAGGAGGGACCACCCUCCAAGGCUAAAUACUACCUAGUGACCGAUAGCGUAUAGUACCGUGAGGGAAAGGUGAAAAGAACCCCGGGAGGGGAGUGAAAUAGAACCUGAAACCCUGCACUUACAAGCUGUGGAAGCACAUUUCUUGUGUGACCGCGUACUUUUUGUAGAACGGGCCAACGAGUUACGUUAAGUAGCAAGGUUAAGCACUUAAGGUGCGGAGCCGUAGCGAAAGCGAGUUUUAACUGAGCGUUCAGUUACUUGACGUAGACCCGAAACCGGGCGACCUACCCAUGAGCAGGAUGAAGCGAAAGUAAAAUUUCGUGGAGGUCCGAACCCACGAGCGUUGAAAAGACUCGGGGAGUGACUUGUGGGUAGCGGUGAAAUUCCAAUCGAGCCCGGAGAUAGCUGGUUCUCCCCGAAAUAGCUUUAGGGCUAGCCUCAAGGUGAGAGAUACGGAGGUAGAGCACUGAAUGUCCUAGGGGGUAUUGCACCUACCGAAGACUAUCAAACUCCGAAUGCCGUCAUCUAUACUUGGGAGUCAGACUGUGGGUGAUAAGAUUCAUAGUCGAAAGGGCAACAGCCCAGAUCGUCAGCUAAGGUCCCUAAAUGUAAGUUAAGUGGUAAAGGAUGUGGGAUUGCACAGACAACCAGGAUGUUGGCUUAGAAGCAGCCACUCAUUCAAAGAGUGCGUAAUAGCUCACUGGUCGAGUGAUCCUGCGCCGAAGAUUUCCGGGGCUAAAACUUACUACCGAAGCUACGGCAUCAGUAAUGAUGGGUAGGGGAGCUUCCCAUACGGGUUGAAGCAUGACCGUAAGGACAUGUGGACAGUAUGGGAGUGAGAAUGUUGGCAUGAGUAGCGAGAUGUGGGUGAGAAUCCCACAGGCCGUAAACCCAAGGUUUCCAGGGGAAGGUUCGUCCGCCCUGGGUUAGUCGGGACCUAAGCUGAGGCCGAAAGGCGUAGGUGAUGGACAACAGGUUGAUAUUCCUGUACUACCGAUAACCGUUUGAGAGAUGGGAUGACACAGUAGGAUAAGCUAAGCACACUGUUGGUUAUGUGUGCCCAAGCAUUGAGGCAGUCAAAGUAGGCAAAUCCGCUUUGAUAAUGCUGGGAUGUGAUGGGGAGCGAAAUUUAGUAGCGAAGUAGCUGAUUUCACACUGUCAAGAAAAGUCUCUAUCGAGGUUAAAGGUACCCGUACCGCAAACCGACACAGGUGGGUGAGGAGAGUAUCCUAAGGCCAGCGAGAGAACUGUUGUUAAGGAACUCGGCAAAAUGACCCCGUAACUUAGGGAUAAGGGGUGCCACCAUCAGGUGGCCGCAGAGAAUAGGCCCAAGCGACUGUUUACCAAAAACAUAGGUUUCUGCUAAGUCGCAAGACGAUGUAUAGGAGCUGACGCCUGCCCGGUGCUGGAAGGUUAAGGGGAUCUGUUAGAGCAAUCGAAGCAGUGAACUUAAGCCCCAGUAAACGGCGGCCGUAACUAUAACGGUCCUAAGGUAGCGAAAUUCCUUGUCGGGUAAGUUCCGACCCGCACGAAAGGCGUAACGAUUUGGGCACUGUCUCAACAACAGACUCGGUGAAAUUGUAGUUCCGGUGAAGAUGCCGGAUACCUGCGACAGGACGGAAAGACCCCAUGGAGCUUUACUGUAGCUUGACAUUGGGUCUUGGUACUACAUGUACAGGAUAGGUGGGAGGCUUUGAAACCAGGACGCCUAGUUUUGGCGGAGCCAUCCUUGGGAUACCACCCUUGUAGUACUGGGACUCUAACCAUAGGCCAUGAAUCUGGUCUUGGGACACUGUCAGGUGGGCAGUUUGACUGGGCGGUCGCCUCCCAAAAGGUAACGGAGGCGCUCAAAGGUUCUCUCAGUACGGUCGGAAAUCGUACGUAGAGUGUAAAGGCAAAAGAGAGCUUGAUUGCAAGACAUACAGGUCGAGCAAGGAUGAAAAUCGGACUUAGUGAUCCGGUGGUUCUGCGUGGAAGGGCCAUCGCUCAACGGAUAAAAGCUACCCUGGGGAUAACAGGCUUAUCUCCCCCAAGAGUCCACAUCGACGGGGAGGUUUGGCACCUCGAUGUCGGCUCAUCACAUCCUGGGGCUGUAGUAGGUCCCAAGGGUUGGGCUGUUCGCCCAUUAAAGUGGUACGCGAGCUGGGUCCAGAACGUCGUGAGACAGUUCGGUCCCUAUCCGUCGCAGGCGUAGGAAAUUUGAGAAGACCUGUCCUUAGUACGAGAGGACCGGGAUGGACGUACCUCUGGUGUACCAGUUGUUCUGCCAAGGGCAUGGCUGGGUAGCUAUGUACGGAAUGGAUAAGCGCUGAAAGCAUCUAAGCGCGAAGCCAACUUCAAGAUAAGAUUUCCCACCGCAAGGGUAAGACCCCAGAAAGACUAUCUGGUUGAUAGGUCGAAGGUGUAAGUGCAGCAAUGUAUUUAGCUUAUCGAUACUAAUAGGUCGAGGACUUGACCA
Molecule: ribosomal RNA, 2897 nt
Filed under: Clostridioides difficile P25
Lineage: Bacteria; Bacillati; Bacillota; Clostridia; Peptostreptococcales; Peptostreptococcaceae
Description: bacterial LSU rRNA
Rfam family: Bacterial large subunit ribosomal RNA
Source: RNAcentral